GUAAGGAAAGAGGGAUACAAAGGUAAGAUAGGCGGUGGACGAAGUAAUUAAGAAGACGAGAGGAGGAAGGGCGAGUGGUGUUCGUGUUGGAACGAUAGGGUGCGAGAACGACCCUAGGACCUAGCCCCUUCCAAUAUUCAUAUUAACAAGAAAAACUUCAUGAACCUUUUCUUUUUGCGAAAAAAACUUCAUUCCGCUACACCAUGUGCUCUUGAUCAAUUUUGGAUCCUCUAUAACUUGGGUGAGAAGAGGAAUGCUCCCUCAAAUGACAGCCGAGAAGAAUCAAUCUUUGUCUUAGCUUGACCAAUUUCUAACUAGAGAAGUUAAAUAAAUUCGUUGAUGAACUGAAACAGCCGGCGGCACGAGCUAUCUGAUCUUGACAAAAGAUGAUUGGAGAAAAUCCGAUCCAGACUACGAACCAUGAACACUAAAGACAAAAAAGAAAAGAAAAUGCUAGAGUUUUGGAAA
This 468-nucleotide long non-coding RNA is filed under the name Brachypodium distachyon (stiff brome). RNAcentral describes it as "long non-coding RNA (BDIS_LNC005404)". The record is from RNAcentral. Lineage: Eukaryota; Viridiplantae; Streptophyta; Magnoliopsida; Poales; Poaceae.